RNAcentral lists this ribosomal RNA (411 nucleotides) under Cryptosporidium parvum. RNAcentral's name for it is "SSU rRNA". It matches the Rfam family "Eukaryotic small subunit ribosomal RNA", at positions 254 to 673 of the family's 1831-position model. Lineage: Eukaryota; Apicomplexa; Conoidasida; Eucoccidiorida; Cryptosporidiidae. The record is from RNAcentral.
UAAUAACUUUACGGAUCACAUUAAAUGUGACAUAUCAUUCAAGUUUCUGACCUAUCAGCUUNANACGGUAGGGUAUUGGCCUACCGUGGCGAUGACGGGUAACGGGGAAUUAGGGUUCGAUUCCGGAGAGGGAGCCUGAGAAACGGCUACCACAUCUAAGGAAGGCAGCAGGCGCGCAAAUUACCCAAUCCUAAUACAGGGAGGUAGUGACAAGAAAUAACAAUACAGGACUUUUUGGUUUUGUAAUUGGAAUGAGUUAAGUAUAAACCCCUUUACAAGUAUCAAUUGGAGGGCAAGUCUGGUGCCAGCAGCCGCGGUAAUUCCAGCUCCAAUAGCGUAUAUUAAAGUUGUUGCAGUUAAAAAGCUCGUAGUUGGAUUUCUGUUAAUAAUUUAUAUAAAAUAUUUUGAAGA